Molecule: ribosomal RNA, 839 nt
Filed under: Neofusicoccum ribis
Lineage: Eukaryota; Fungi; Ascomycota; Dothideomycetes; Botryosphaeriales; Botryosphaeriaceae
Also listed under: 2 other names
Description: eukaryotic LSU rRNA
Rfam family: Eukaryotic large subunit ribosomal RNA
Source: RNAcentral
CGGCGAGUGAAGCGGCAAUAGCUCAAAUUUGAAAGCUGGCCCCUUCGGGGUCCGCGUUGUAAUUUGUAGAGGAUGAUUCGGCGAGGGCUCCCGUCUAAGUCCCUUGGAACAGGGCGUCAUAGAGGGUGAGAAUCCCGUAUGUGAUGGGCUGCCUUAGCCAUGUGAAUCUCCUUCGACGAGUCGAGUUGUUUGGGAAUGCAGCUCUAAAUGGGAGGUAAAUUUCUUCUAAAGCUAAAUACCGGCCAGAGACCGAUAGCGCACAAGUAGAGUGAUCGAAAGAUGAAAAGCACUUUGGAAAGAGAGUUAAAAAGUACGUGAAAUUGUUGAAAGGGAAGCGCUUGCAGCCAGACUUGUCCGCAGUUGCUCAGCUUGUCUCCUGACAGGCGUACUCUUCUGCGGCCAGGCCAGCAUCAGUUCGGGCGGUCGGAUAAAGACCUGGGGAAUGUAGCUCCUCUCGGGGAGUGUUAUAGCCCUGGGUGCAAUGCGGCCAGCCUGGACUGAGGAUCUCGCUUCGGCUAGGAUGCUGGCGUAAUGGCUGUAAGCGGCCCGUCUUGAAACACGGACCAAGGAGUCUAACAUCUAUGCGAGUGUUUGGGUGUCAAACCCAUGCGCGUAAUGAAAGUGAACGGAGGUGGGAACCCUCACGGGUGCACCAUCGACCGAUCCUGAUGUCUUCGGAUGGAUUUGAGUAAGAGCAUAGCUGUUGGGACCCGAAAGAUGGUGAACUAUGCCUGAAUAGGGUGAAGCCAGAGGAAACUCUGGUGGAGGCUCGCAGCGGUUCUGACGUGCAAAUCGAUCGUCAAAUUUGGGUAUAGGGGCGAAAGACUAAUCGAACCAUC